Molecule: ribosomal RNA, 475 nt
Filed under: uncultured bacterium
Lineage: Bacteria
Description: partial 16S ribosomal RNA
Rfam family: Bacterial small subunit ribosomal RNA
Source: RNAcentral
AGUGAACGCUGGCGGCGUGCCUAACACAUGCAAGUCGAACAAUGAAGAGCAGCUUGCUGCUCGGAUUAGUGGCGCACGGGUGAGUAAUGCAUAGGUAAGGUGCCCCUUAGUCUGGGAUAGCCACUGGAAACGGUGAUUAAUACUAGAUACUCCUUCUUGUCUUAAGGCAAGUCGGGAAAGUUUUUCUCUAAGGGAUCAGCCUAUGUCCUAUGAGGUAGUUGGUGAGGUAACGGCUCACCAAGCCAAUGACGGGUAUCUGGUUGGAGAGGAUGAACAGACACACUGGAACUAAGACACGGUCCAGACUGCUACGGUAGGCAGCAGUGAGGAAUAUUGCACAAUGGAGGAAACUCUGAUGCAGCAACGCCGCGUGGAGGAUGACGCAUUUCGGUGUGUAAACUCCUGUUAAGAGGGAAGAUUAUGACGGUACCUCUUGAAUAAGCACCGGCUAACUCCGUGCCAGCAGCCGCGGUAA